GUGGGGAAUCUUGCGCAAUGGGCGAAAGCCUGACGCAGCAACGCCGCGUGCGGGAUGAAGGCCUUCGGGUUGUAAACCGCUUUCAGCAGGGAAGAAAUUGACGGUACCUGCAGAAGAAGCCCCGGCCAACUACGUGCCAGCAGCCGCGGUAACACGUAGGGGGCGAGCGUUGUCCGGAUUUAUUGGGCGUAAAGAGCUCGUAGGCGGUUCGGUAAGUCGGGUGUGAAACCUCCAGGCUCAACCUGGAGACGCCACCUGAUACUGCUGUGACUAGAGUCCGGUAGGGGAGUGUGGAACUCCUGGUGUAGCGGUGAAAUGCGCAGAUAUCAGGAAGAACACCAGCGGCGAAGGCGGCACUCUGGGCCGGUACUGACGCUGAGGAGCGAAAGCGUGGGUAGCAAACAGGAUUAGAAACCCUAGUAGUCC
RNAcentral lists this ribosomal RNA (426 nucleotides) under uncultured bacterium. RNAcentral's name for it is "bacterial SSU rRNA". It matches the Rfam family "Bacterial small subunit ribosomal RNA", at positions 354 to 796 of the family's 1533-position model. The record is from RNAcentral.